Molecule: long non-coding RNA, 523 nt
Organism: Salvia miltiorrhiza (redroot sage)
Lineage: Eukaryota; Viridiplantae; Streptophyta; Magnoliopsida; Lamiales; Lamiaceae
Exons: 3
Source: RefSeq, a predicted model, not a curated record
CUAAAUAUCUAACCCUACCCCACCAAAACCACCCCCCAACCGCCCAAGUUCAGUCAAACACUCUUAACUCACGUUGAUUUUCAGCCCACACACAACUCACACACACUAACACCUAAAACACACACACCAUUCACGCAUAUACCAUUUUUUAGCUUGAGCUCAAGCUUUUGAGCUCCGAUUUGAGCACCGAGAUGAACGCCGAUCAUCUUUUCGAUCACGUAUCUAAGUAGGUCCUUUUGGGAAGUAACGACUUGAGGGAGAGAGUGACGUUACUCAUUGAUACAGAGACACAACGAGGUUGAGCUGAUGUGAUGAUGGUGCUGCAAUGAGCGGAGUCUCCAGGGUUGUUAAUAAAUAGUUAACCUGUCUAGAAUAUGUCUUCAUACAUAUGUCUAGCUACUUUCCGCUGCAAGAUGUUGUUGAUGUUAUAGUAUGUUAUGUCAUACUUUGAGUCUUAAGAGAAUGGUUUCAUAUGAUGUAUAACUUGAUUAAUGAUAUUAAUUAAGUUUUAUGUUGUCUUUCA